RNAcentral lists this ribosomal RNA (491 nucleotides) under uncultured bacterium. RNAcentral's name for it is "partial 16S ribosomal RNA". It matches the Rfam family "Bacterial small subunit ribosomal RNA", at positions 28 to 507 of the family's 1533-position model. The record is from RNAcentral.
GAUGAACGCUGUCUACAGGCUUAACACAUGCAAGUCGAGGGGAAACGACGGGGAAGCUUGCUUCCCCGGGCGUCGACCGACGCACGGGUGAGUAACGCGUAUCCAACCUGCCUCUGACUGAGGGAUAACCCGUCGAAAGUCGGCCUAAUACCUCAUGGCAUCGUCUGCGGGCAUCCAACGACGAUUAAAGAUUUCAUCGGUCAGGGAUGGGGAUGCGUCUGAUUAGCUUGUUGGCGGGGUAACGGCCCACCAAGGCUACGAUCAGUAGGGGUUCUGAGAGGAAGGUCCCCCACAUUGGAACUGAGACACGGUCCAAACUCCUACGGGAGGCAGCAGUGAGGAAUAUUGGUCAAUGGGCGGGAGCCUGAACCAGCCAAGUAGCGUGCAGGAUGACGGCCCUAUGGGUUGUAAACUGCUUUUAUGCGGGGAUAAAGUGAGGGACGUGUCCUUCAUUGCAGGUACCGCAUGAAUAAGGACCGACUAAUUCCGUG